CGGACCAAGGAGUUUAACAUGUGCGCGAGUCAUUGGGCGUUACGAAACCCAAAGGCGCAGUGAAAGUGAAGGUCCGACAUUGUCGUCUGGACUGAGGUGAGAUCCUGUCGUUUUGUUGUGCGUGGUACCGCCAGGCUUACGAGCGAUAGGCGCAUCACCUGCCCGUCUCAUGGUGUGGUCAUACUAUUGCGGUAGCAUGCGUCACCGGGGCGGAGCUUGAGCGUACAUGUUGAGACCCGAAAGAUGGUGAACUAUGCUUGCGCAGGUUGAAGCCAGAGGAAACUCUGGUGGAGGACCGUAGCGAUCUUGACGUGCAAAUCGAUCGUCUGACGUGAGUAUAGGGGCGAAAGACUAAUCGAACCAUCUAGUAGCUGGUUCCCUCCGAAGUUUCCCUCAGGAUAGCUGGCAUUCUGGGAAACAAACAGUUUUAUCCGGUAAAGCGAAUGAUUAGAGGUAUUGGGGACGAAACGCCCUCAACCUAUUCUCAAACUUUAAAUGGGUGAGAUGCUUGACUCGCUUAAAUGGAGCCAAGCGUUGAAUGUGAGUGCCAAGUGGGCCAUUUUUGGUAAGCAGAACUGGCGCUGUGGGAUGAACCAAACGUUCGGUUAAGGUGCCUAACGCAGACGCUCAUGAGAGACCACAAAAGUGUUGGUUGGUCCAGACAGCAGGACGGUGGCCAUGGAAGUCGGAAACCGCUAAGGAGUGUGUAAUAACUCACAUGCCGAAUCAACCAGCCCUGAAAAUGGAUGGCGCUUGAGCGUUGGACAUAUACCGAACCGUCACUACAAGCUGAGCUGGUAAAGUUUGGCACACAAUGAAACAAAUAUGUGUUCAUAGCUCAGGCAUGGAGUUGUGGUGACGAGUAGGAGGGUCUCCGUGGUGAGCAGGAAGCUCAGGGCGUGGGUCCGAGUGGAGCCGCCACGGGUGCAGAUCUUGGUGGUAGUAGCAAAUAUUC
This 955-nucleotide ribosomal RNA is filed under the name Multicotyle purvisi. Its description in RNAcentral is "eukaryotic LSU rRNA". It matches the Rfam family "Eukaryotic large subunit ribosomal RNA", at positions 662 to 1472 of the family's 3401-position model. Lineage: Eukaryota; Metazoa; Platyhelminthes; Trematoda; Aspidogastridae. The record is from RNAcentral.